This 433-nucleotide ribosomal RNA is filed under the name uncultured bacterium. RNAcentral's name for it is "partial 16S ribosomal RNA". It matches the Rfam family "Bacterial small subunit ribosomal RNA", at positions 29 to 507 of the family's 1533-position model. The record is from RNAcentral.
AACGAACGCUGGCGGCAUGCCUAACACAUGCAAGUCGAACGAGACCUUCGGGUCUAGUGGCGCACGGGUGCGUAACGCGUGGGAACCUGCCCUUAGGUUCGGCAUAACUCCCCGAAAGGGGUGCUAAUACCGGCUAAUGUCCUCGGACCAAAGAUUUAUCGCCUUUGGAUGGGCCCGAGUGGGCUUAGCUGGUUGGUAGGGUAAACGCCUACCAAUGCGUCGAUCCAUAGCUGGUCUGAGAGGAUGAUCAGCGACACUGGGGGUGGGAAACGGCCCAGAAUCCUACGGGAGGCAGCAGUGGGGGAUAUUGGAAUAUGGGGGGAAGCAUGAUCCAGCAAUGACGGGUGAGUGAUGAAGGCCUUAGGGUUGUAAAGCUAUUUUACCCGGGAUGAUAAUGACAGUACCGGGAGAAUAAGCACCGGCUAACUCCGUG